Molecule: ribosomal RNA, 497 nt
Filed under: uncultured bacterium
Lineage: Bacteria
Description: partial 16S ribosomal RNA
Rfam family: Bacterial small subunit ribosomal RNA
Source: RNAcentral
GAUGAACGCUGGCGGCGUGCCUAAUACAUGCAAGUCGAGCGAACGGACGAGAAGCUUGCGUCUCUGAUGUUAGCGGCGGACGGGUGAGUAACACGUGGAUAACCUACCUAUAAGACUGGGAUAACUUCGGGAAACCGGAGCUAAUACCGGAUAAUAUUUUGAACCGCAUGGUUCAAAGGUGAAAGACGGUCUUGCUGUCACUUAUAGAUGGAUCCGCGCUGCAUUAGCUAGUUGGGAAGGUAACGGCUUACCAAGGCAACGAUGCAUAGCCGAACUGAGAGGGUGAUCGCCCACCUUGGAAGGGAGACGGGGUCAAGACUCCUGAGGGAGGGAGCAGAAGGGAACCUGACGCAAUGGGCGAAAGCCUGACGGAGCAACGCCGAGUGAGUGAUGAAGGCCUUCGGAUCGUAAAACUCUGUUAUUAGGGAAGAACAUAUGUGUACGUAACUGUGCACAUCUUGACGGUACCUAAUCAGAAAGCAACGGCUAACUACGUG